RNAcentral lists this ribosomal RNA (117 nucleotides) under Bifidobacterium vespertilionis. The record is from RNAcentral. Lineage: Bacteria; Bacillati; Actinomycetota; Actinomycetes; Bifidobacteriales; Bifidobacteriaceae.
UGCGGUGAUCAUGGCUCAGGAGAAACGCCCGGUUACUUUCCGAACCCGGAAGCUAAGACCUGACACGGUGAUGGUACUGCACUCGAUAGGGUGUGGGAGAGUAGCACGUCGCCGCAU